GACGAACGCUGGCGGCGUGCCUAAUACAUGCAAGUAGAACGCUGAAGGAAGGAGCUUGCUCUUUCCGGAUGAGUUGCGAACGGGUGAGUAACGCGUAGGUAACCUGCCUGGUAGCGGGGGAUAACUAUUGGAAACGAUAGCUAAUACCGCAUAACAGUAGAUGUUGCAUGAUAUCUACUUAAAAGGUGCAAUUGCACCACUACCAGAUGGACCCGCGUUGUAUUAGCUAGUUGGUGAGGUAACGGCUCACCAAGGCGACGAUACAUAGCCGACCUGAGAGGGUGGUCGGCCACACUUGGACUGAGACACGGCCCAGGCUCCUACGGGAGGCAGCAGUAGGGGAUCUUCGGCAAUAGACGGAAGUCUGACCGGGCAACGCCGCGUGAGUGAAGAAGGGUUUCGGAUCGUAAAGCUCUGUUGUAAGAGAAGAACGAGUGUGAGAGUGGAAAGUUCACACUGUGACGGUAUCUUACCAGAAAGGGACGGCUAACUACGUG
This 497-nucleotide ribosomal RNA is filed under the name uncultured bacterium. RNAcentral describes it as "partial 16S ribosomal RNA". It matches the Rfam family "Bacterial small subunit ribosomal RNA", at positions 28 to 507 of the family's 1533-position model. The record is from RNAcentral.